RNAcentral lists this non-coding RNA (19 nucleotides) under Mus musculus (house mouse). The record is from RNAcentral. Lineage: Eukaryota; Metazoa; Chordata; Mammalia; Rodentia; Muridae.
UUAGGCAACUAUUUGAGAA